AUAAAUAUAAACAAAUUAAAAAUGACAGUUUUUGUGUUUUUAAAGAUGUUUUUCUCGUUUUUUUACAAAUCUGUUGUAAUUUGGUAAAGAAUAAAAUAUUUUCAAGCCGAGAUAAUACAAAUCUUGAAAAAAAUUGAUCUACAAUGAGAUAAUAGUGAAGAAAGAAGAUAAAAGAGUUAAACAAUUAAACAAUUGUUAUUAUAACCUCAAAAAUGGUACUUAUUUUUUCUUUUUAAAAAAGAAAAUAUUGAAUACAUAAUUAAAUGAAUUAAAUGAAACUAGGAUCAUCAAGAAAAGAUACUGCUUCCUAUUUAUACAGGAAUUAGAUUAGAGAAUAGUAUUAUUUACUAUGAAAAAAAACUAGAAACAAUAAAGAAUGUCUAAGCAAGUCGUCAACUUUCAUUAUAGAGUUUCACAAAAGCCACGAAGUUUAUGGCAAAUGCAAACGUCAAAUCGAUGAUCUAUGUUAUUAUUCUGCAAUUUUCCCCAUUGGAGGAUCAAUAUGGGAUCAAAAUCUGGAUUAACCACAAGAGAAUUGAAAUAAAGAAAAAAAUCGCUUCUCUCAAUACUGACAUGAGACUCCAGACGAUUAUGACAUGUAAUAGAAAACCGAAACCCUAUAUGUUCGACGUGGCUAAUGUCUAGUACCACCGCUUUAAAUCAUCACAAGAAAUACCUUUACUGAUAAAUAAUAAUAAACAAUAUUAUAAAUUUAGAAA
Long non-coding RNA from Leptopilina heterotoma, 719 nucleotides. RefSeq lists it as uncharacterized. NCBI's taxonomy places the organism in Eukaryota, Metazoa, Arthropoda, Insecta, Hymenoptera, Figitidae. The record is from RefSeq and is a predicted model, not a curated record. The transcript has 2 exons.